GGUUGCUUGGACUAUCUUGCAUCGGUGGAUAUGAAAAUAGUGGUAACCUACCCUACGAAACAGCUAUUUGCACAUAAGCUUAACAGUUCCCUGUCAGAUGCUGUGAAAGUCAGCAGGGAAGUGCGAUGUAGAAGAAACGACUGCCAGAAGCUUGCUAAAGAACCGCACAACAUGUGUGAGCAGCAGACAAAAUAUUCAUCAAACGAAUUUUUGCACCAAAGUUAUGAGAGCAGCACAGGCGUUGUUUUAGCGUAAUGCAGUGAUGGACGUGCUGCGCCAAUCAUGGAGUGCUUAGCAGUCGCCUUCUCGACCAGCCACAGUGAGUCAUUGGAGGCAGUGCUGCAGCGCCAACAAUCACUCAUUGGAAGAAAGGAAUGAGGUGGCCAUCAACACCCUGCUGCCAGUUCAACACUCCUCAGUCAAAACACAAGACGCCUGCUUGGCGGCAAAGUCAAUCCAGUUUUAGACAGAGUUUUGUACCGUAGACUUCGUGUGUGGUUUACUGCAAAUAAAUGUUUAUGCUGA
Long non-coding RNA from Ornithodoros turicata, 525 nucleotides. RefSeq lists it as uncharacterized. The transcript is spliced from 4 exons. NCBI's taxonomy places the organism in Eukaryota, Metazoa, Arthropoda, Arachnida, Ixodida, Argasidae. The record is from RefSeq and is a predicted model, not a curated record.